GAUGUUAUUAGGUAUGUGAUAAUCGUUGGGAGCCUUACUAAAAUAUCAACUGGAAGUAAGACCCUUGAAUUCAAUCUCACGAAUGAAAGGGGAGUCCAGCUUAGGGUGACACUGUGGGGAGAUUUGGGAGAGGGCAUGGUGAAAAGAAAGGCCAAAAAUGCUGGUGUCUAUACCAUACUGCUGACUUCCAUGAUUGCAAAAGAAUAUGUCGGUAACCUCUGCCUUUCCAGUUCCUCCUCGACAAUGUUGAUUGAUAAUGGUGAGUUCCUGCCAUAAAGACAUUCAAGUCUGCACUAAGGCAAGAAAUCAUACGGGUUUAAAUCCUAUGUAAUUAAGCGGAGGAACCAUACCCAGGUGUAGAAAAGAUCUCUCUCCUAAGCGUAGCAACAAUGUAACACGAUUCAAACCGGCAACGACAUUGUACACGCAACCAAUAUUUUUCAAACAUGUCGUGCGUAGCACGGGCAUUUAAACCCUCGUAGUAAUAACAAUAGUAGUUAGUAUCCUUAGAUGUAGGAAUUUUGUCAAGUCUACUAUUAUUAUUAUUUAUGCAAUGCAUUCUUCUCGGCUUUAAUCUUCAUUUUCUUCA
This is a long non-coding RNA of Erigeron canadensis, 589 nucleotides long. RefSeq lists it as uncharacterized. The transcript has 4 exons. NCBI's taxonomy places the organism in Eukaryota, Viridiplantae, Streptophyta, Magnoliopsida, Asterales, Asteraceae. The record is from RefSeq and is a predicted model, not a curated record.